CACAUUACAUAUCCAUUGCAGCUCUGACUUGACGCAUUGGCUAAAAACACUAAUAGGUAGGAGUAGUCAGGCUACCUCACAGAAAUUACUAGCACAUUUUACUUCCUAUUUUUCUUGGAGGGCUAUAGACUUACUAUAAAUGAAAGCUUAAGAGUCUGGGGCCACUGCCCGGGGCACCAAUAAAGGCCUGGUUAGGCACCAGUUGACAACCCCUGUCCUAAGAGCUGCUGCAUGCGCUGGCCAGGGCAGAAGGAGGUGCUGAUGGGUUAUUAAUAUUAUUUUGCUGCACCAGUUCUAGGCUCGUGCAUCAGAGGGUCCCAAAUUUUGCACCUUUCCAGGAAACUAACCAGUUUUAGAUCCACUCUACCACUCUAGGGCCUUAGGAUGGUGAAAAUUAUGAUGGCACCACACACUGCAGCAUGCAGUGUGGACCUCCACAGUAGUGUCUUUCCAAGAAAAAAGAAACACAGAAUGAGUCUAUGAGAGUUAGACACCCCUAAGGCACUGACUAGGUGAUCCUAACUGUACAUAAGACUGGGCUGAAUGGAUUAAGUGUUUGUGUGUCCGUGAAUGAACGAAUGUGUGCAAAAAUGUAAUACAUUGUGGCACUAUUUUAUUUGCCAAAUCAACUUUGGAAAUAGCUGUGUGUAGAAGGAAAUGUGGUCAAAAUGAUCAUUUGGUUUAGACAUGAUUACUGUAAAUGAGUCUAUCACUAUGCCAUUAUUCAUAUCUCAGGGAUAUGAAUAAGAAUGUUAAUGAAUUGGAUAGCUGCCUGAAUGGGUAAUUCACCUAAAGGGAUGUGCUGAAACAACUAGCAGUUUGGAGUGUGUGUUUUUCCAGUUAGCAUUAGCUGGAACUGGGAUAUAAUAUAGGAAUACUAUACAAGUUGCUCUCUUGGGUUUUGCUGCCAGUUUUUAGGAGUCUGCUCUCGUCACACAGGCUCUAUUUGUAUAUUCAUACAUAAAGUGAUUACAAAGUCUUCUGUGCUCUAUAAUCCAAAGAAAAUUAAUUCCUAAAGUAAAUUUUAAAAAGCUGAAAUAUAUUUCUGUUCUUCACAAAACUCUUGUGUGUUUUGCUUAAGGCUGCAAGUAGAUCUUGGUAGCAGCUAGAUUUUUUGUUUUCAAAGAUGCGGGAUCAGUUAUUGCAUGCUUCUUUGUCCCAGCAAUCUCCAGUUCAACCUGAAAACUUCAUAGCAUCAGAACUUAAGCCACUGUUAUCCAAAUCCCAUGCUUGUCUACCAAUGGAGCUUUCUCCCAAGCAAAGGAUGCAUAAAGAGUAAGCCCCCAUUAAAUUCAAUGGGACUUACCUCAAGUAAGCAUUUUCAGGAUUGUCCUAUAAGUCUGAAAUCUCCUCUUAUGCUCUAUUUUAAGAUGAUGACUAAAUUUACACUUUGUGGCUUCAACAUCAAGUUCAACUCCCCCACCCCACCUUUUUUCUUAAUACCAGGUCCAAGUUCUAUUUUGUUAUGUUUUCAGAGGUUGUAAUGCAAGUAUAACCCAAUCUGAGGUUUUGGAAUUUUUCUUAUGGACCAACAAAACUGUUGCUUUUCUAAACCCUUUAGUAAUAGCCAUGUUUCAUUAUAUUCACACUAUAGCUAUUUGCAAAGGAAAAACCCACACAAAGUGAGAUUUUGAUGUGCCUCUAACUGAAACUUUUAAGAGACUUAAAUCUUCACAUUACAGUUCACAGGAGUCAUGCUUCAUGUGCUGAAACAUUUUCCUUUGCAUUGAGAAAGAUAAUCAAAUAUUAUUGUAUUACAAAAUCUUGCAAUUUAAAAUAAAUUGAGCCGUAUCAA
Long non-coding RNA from Podarcis raffonei (Aeolian wall lizard), 1795 nucleotides. RefSeq lists it as uncharacterized. The transcript is spliced from 2 exons. NCBI's taxonomy places the organism in Eukaryota, Metazoa, Chordata, Lepidosauria, Squamata, Lacertidae. The record is from RefSeq and is a predicted model, not a curated record.